AUUGAACGCUGGCGGCAUGCCUUACACAUGCAAGUCGAACGGCAGCACGGGCUUCGGCCUGGUGGCGAGUGGCGAACGGGUGAGUAAUACAUCGGAACGUGCCCUGUUGUGGGGGAUAACCAGUCGAAAGAUUGGCUAAUACCGCAUACGACCUGAGGGUGAAAGCGGGGGACCGCAAGGCCUAGCGCAGCAGGAGCGGCCGAUGUCUGAUUAGCUAGUUGGUGGGGUAAAGGCCCACCAAGGCGACGAUCAGUAGCUGGUCUGAGAGGACGAUCAGCCACACUGGGACUGAGACACGGCCCAGACUCCUACGGGAGGCAGCAGUGGGGAAUUUUGGACAAUGGGGGCAACCCUGAUCCAGCAAUGCCGCGUGUGUGAAGAAGGCCUUCGGGUUGUAAAGCACUUUUGUCCGGAAAGAAAACCUCUGCCCUAAUACGGCGGGGGGAUGACGGUACCGGAAGAAUAAGCACCGGCUAACUACGUGCCAGCCGCCGCCGUAA
This 500-nucleotide ribosomal RNA is filed under the name uncultured bacterium. Its description in RNAcentral is "partial 16S ribosomal RNA". It matches the Rfam family "Bacterial small subunit ribosomal RNA", at positions 29 to 523 of the family's 1533-position model. The record is from RNAcentral.